CGACUCUCGAUAACUUUGGGCCGAUCGCACGGUCUAGCACCGGCGACGUAUCUUUNAAGUGUNUGCCUUAUCAACUUUCGAUGGUAGGUUAUGCGCCUACNAUGGUCGUUACGGGUAA
This 118-nucleotide ribosomal RNA is filed under the name Urodacus hoplurus. It matches the Rfam family "Eukaryotic small subunit ribosomal RNA", at positions 247 to 362 of the family's 1831-position model. Lineage: Eukaryota; Metazoa; Arthropoda; Arachnida; Scorpiones; Urodacidae. The record is from RNAcentral.